This 918-nucleotide long non-coding RNA is filed under the name Bos taurus (domestic cattle). RNAcentral's name for it is "long non-coding RNA NONBTAT010930". Lineage: Eukaryota; Metazoa; Chordata; Mammalia; Artiodactyla; Bovidae. The record is from RNAcentral.
GACACUGUGUACAGUUGGUUGAGUUAUUGUACUAUUCUGAGGUCAGUUAUAAUUUUCCUUAUUUGGACGCUCCAUAGUUGAGGUAAAACUUUUAAAAUGGUAUGACAUGAGUCAUAUAAGUUUUGUCAAAUGACACUUUGCAUUAGAACUUUUACACGCUUAUCUUAACUCAUCCUUUACCAAAGGUGUUCCUAUGACUUUUGGUCAUAGAAGGUCUGAAGAAGUUCCCAGGACCAAGCGUAUUUGGGAAAGCCUCAUCUUCCUCAGGAAGCUUAAUAAAACAUAAGGUACAGAAAAUCUCAAUUUUAUUUGACUCAGUUUUUUCUGAAUUUUUUUAACCUCAGAACCCUUCCUCUUAGCAAAACUGAUGUUCUACGCCAGUCCAACCUGGUUGUCAGACAGUUGUUUUGCACUUCACAUUAGAUAAUCUUUUUUUUUAAUCCAUAGAAUUUUAUUUAGCCUCUUUUCAAAUUUUCUUAUACUAAUGAGGAGAACAUAAAUCUAGAAAUAAGAUUUGCAAAAUCAUCACUUUCCUGUAAAAUUCCCAGAUUAACAUUAUUUCAAACACUGGUGUCAUUUUGGCCUUCAGGACAAUUACAUAUUUUUCUAGUGCUUGGUUUUCUAAUCUGUACACAUUAGGAAAUCUUAUAUAAACAUUAGCCAUAGAGAAUACAUUACCAGGAUUUUUCUGCUAAAAUGCAAUUCAUAUUUUUAAUGCUUUUAAAAUAAUGUAAACAGAAUCUAUUACUAAGGUAAAAAUUAAAUCAUUUUAUAACGAACAUGAAUGUGAAUGUGGUGUGGUAGUUUGUACUAAUUAACUCAUGCCCCAGUUUUCUUAUGAUGAUGGAAAUUAUUAAAUCAUGUACACUCUUAAUGUCUAAGUGCUUUUAUUUAUACAAUAAACAUGUUUCCAUGUCA